Molecule: long non-coding RNA, 369 nt
Organism: Etheostoma cragini (Arkansas darter)
Lineage: Eukaryota; Metazoa; Chordata; Actinopteri; Perciformes; Percidae
Exons: 3
Source: RefSeq, a predicted model, not a curated record
UUCAUCGAGCUAAGCUGCUUGACUCUGAUUGGCUAACAGUUAACCAAUAAGAGCCUGGCUUUCAGCAUCCUUUACCCAGCUCAACUGGGCAAGCUCAUGAAUAGUAAUGAGCUCAGGCAAUAUGACGUCAGACUGAUUGGCUGUUGUAAUUGGCUUGAUUUCUCCUUUUAUUUCUUUUCAGUGGCUAGAGCUGAAGGAGGAGGGAGCAGUUCAUUUUCACAUUCACGACGUAACACAAACACACAUUGACCUGACCUAUUUCAAAAAUGCAAUGCAUGUAAAAAUGGUUUUGUGUGGCAGGGCACCUUCUAAAUCAUGAAAUGCUGCACUAUUGACCGUAGACCAGGUUUUUCUUGGUCAAUGGUGCGA